AACGUUGGGCACUAGGUGUGGGGGACAUUCCACGUUUUCCGCGCCGUAGCUAACGCAUUAAGUGCCCCGCCUGGGGAGUACGGCCGCAAGGCUAAAACUCAAAGGAAUUGACGGGGGCCCGCACAAGCGGCGGAGCAUGCGGAUUAAUUCGAUGCAACGCGAAGAACCUUACCAAGGCUUGACAUGGACCGGACCGCCGCAGAAAUGCGGUUUCCCUUCGGGGCUGGUUUACAGGUGGUGCAUGGUUGUCGUCAGCUCGUGUCGUGAGAUGUUGGGUUAAGUCCCGCAACGAGCGCAACCCUCGUUCUAUGUUGCCAGCGCGUUAUGGCGGGGACUCAUAGGAGACUGCCGGGGUCAACUCGGAGGAAGGUGGGGACGACGUCAAAUCACCAUGCCCCUUAUGUCUUGGGCUUCACGCAUGCUACAAUGGCCGGUACAAAGGGUUGCGAUACUGUGAGGUGGAGCUAAUCCCAAAAAGCCGGUCUCAGUUCGGAUUGAGGUCUGCAACUCGACCUCAUGAAGUCGGAGUCGCUAGUAAUCGCAGAUCAGCAACGCUGCGGUGAAUACGUUCCCGGGCCUUGUACACACCGCCCGUCAAGUCACGAAAGUUGGUAACACCCGAAGCCGGUGGCCUAACCCCUUGUGGGAGGGAGCCGUCGAAGGUGGGACCGGCGAUUGGGACUAAGUCGUAACAAGGUAACCAAGGG
This 707-nucleotide ribosomal RNA is filed under the name uncultured bacterium. RNAcentral's name for it is "bacterial SSU rRNA". It matches the Rfam family "Bacterial small subunit ribosomal RNA", at positions 805 to 1506 of the family's 1533-position model. The record is from RNAcentral.